Molecule: unclassified non-coding RNA, 252 nt
Filed under: Hevea brasiliensis (rubber tree)
Lineage: Eukaryota; Viridiplantae; Streptophyta; Magnoliopsida; Malpighiales; Euphorbiaceae
Source: RNAcentral
GUCACAUCCAGCUGGUACUGGCAAUAGAUCCUUCUCAUCAGCAACAAUUAGCUCGGCGUAUGAUCCUUGACCGGCGAAGGAGCAAACGUGAUCCCCAAUACUGAACCGGGUGACGCCGGAGCUGACCGAUUCGACGACGCCGGAGUAGUCAGAGCCGAGGAUGAAGGGGAACGGGAACUUCUCCUGGUACUUGCCGAGUACCUGCAGGUAAUUGGCGUAGUUGAGGCUUGUUGCUCGGAUCCGAACCCGGAC